This is a long non-coding RNA of Bubalus bubalis (water buffalo), 517 nucleotides long. RefSeq lists it as uncharacterized. NCBI's taxonomy places the organism in Eukaryota, Metazoa, Chordata, Mammalia, Artiodactyla, Bovidae. The transcript has 4 exons. The record is from RefSeq and is a predicted model, not a curated record.
GGAGAAAGCACCAGGAGGAGGAAGCACCCUGUGUCACAGGGAGGUACAGGGACACGACUGGGACAUGGCUGCGGGCAGCCGGGAGGAGCUUGUCUCUCAGAUUCACUGGCCUAUCAUGUGGUGAGCAGAGCAAGCCUGAACUUGGUAACAGAGUCACAAGCAUCAGGAUGGGGGUCUGAAACUGACAACCCUGCCCAAGAGAAGACAGCCAAGGAGCAAAGCCUGGGGAGACCCAGCAUUAAAGCCUGAGAAAGAACAAACCCAGGAGGGAAGAUCCACCGCAACUGAGUGGUCCCCUCCCUUGGACCUUGCCGAGAAACUGAGAUGAGCUCCUGGACGGGACUCUCCACUUGCCUUACUGGACUGACAUACACACACCGGCCCACAUUUCAUCCAUCGGUUACAAGGGACCACUUACAAGCCUUCACCAACUGAACUAUCCACGAGCUACUUCCAACUCAUUCGGAUUAUCAAAUACUUCGACCCCACACAAAUCCCCUUGACCCGCAUUCCAGCC